RNAcentral lists this ribosomal RNA (487 nucleotides) under uncultured bacterium. RNAcentral describes it as "partial 16S ribosomal RNA". The record is from RNAcentral.
GUAGUUAGCCGGGGCUUCCUCCUUGGCUACCGUCACUUUCUUCGUCACCAAGGACAAAGGUUUACAAUCCGAAGACCUUCUUCCCUCACGCGGCGUUGCUGGGUCAGGCUUGCGCCCAUUGCCCAAUAUUCCCCACUGCUGCCUCCCGUAGGAGUCUGGACCGUGUCUCAGUUCCAGUGUGGCCGAUCAGCCUCUCAGCUCGGCUACCCAUCGUCGACUAGGUGGGCCGUUACCCCGCCUACUAUCUAAUGGGACGCGAACCCCUCCCAAAGCGGAUUGCUCCUUUGACCUCUUCGCGAUGCCGCGUUGUGGUCUUAUGCGGUAUUAGCAGCCGUUUCCGGCUGUUAUCCCCCUCUUUGGGUCAGAUUGUUCACGCGUUACUCACCGUUCGCCACUAAGACAAAACCGAAACUUACUUGCUCCGUUCGUACUUGCAUGUGUUAGGCACGCCGCCAGCGUUCGUCCUGAGCACGAAUACAACUACUGA